This 33774-nucleotide long non-coding RNA is filed under the name Fragaria vesca (wild strawberry). RNAcentral's name for it is "long non-coding RNA (FVES_LNC000848)". Lineage: Eukaryota; Viridiplantae; Streptophyta; Magnoliopsida; Rosales; Rosaceae. The record is from RNAcentral.
CAAAUACAAAAUCAUACAUGGCACCAAUCUUUAAGAUUACAAAGUCAUACAAGCUUAUUCUCGAGUUGCUAUUAAAACACUUAAAUAAAUAAUGAUUCUAGAUGGUAAGACACGGUGGACGUGCGGCCUGGAUAUAGAUGUUUCGAUCACAAGCUUGAAGCGUUGUUUCUAAAGGUCAAUAGCUCAAUCCAGAGAAAGUGAACAUGGUAGGACUCGUUUAGUGAGCAAUGAGAACUCCAUCACCGAGAUGUAUGUCUUCAAGGCUCUUGAGAUCCAAUUUUGGUCCCAUGCACCAGAGUAAUAGAAGGAGCGUACCAAUGUACUCAGCUAGCAACAAACUUAUGAACCAAACAUGACUCCAAGUGUUAAUAAAAGCCGCCCACAACCUCAUGCAAACCCGAGGGUAAACAAGAAGGGUUAAGGCUAGAAUUAACAAAAGGGGAUACCUAUUCCUGUGCAUUACAACCUACAACAUUAUUCAUACAAGUAUUAAAGUAGAAAGACAAAAAUAAAACCCAAUUACAUCAUAUACAAAUUCAUGGUUUUAACUUUACAAAUAUAAACAUAUACACAUAUAUACAAUGCAAAUUUCGACAAUUCUAAAAGAUCGAGGAUCCCGAAGGAUCCCCGGCAACGGCGCCAUUUGAUAUGACGUAUUUGCACACGCAUCAAUUAACCCUGUCAACAAAUCAAUCGUAGUAUAAAGCAAGCAGGGAUCGUUCUAAACCGGGGAUCCAACUACAGGGUAGAUCCAUCUAAUCUAAUAAAAAUGUCGAAAUAAGCAUAUAGGGUUUAAAGGUUUUGAUGAUUUUGGAAUAAACAUUGAAAAUAAAUCCUAAAUUACUUCUAUACAUAUUUACAUGUGAUCAACCAACAAUCAUGCAAACUUAACCAAACAACCAUGUAAGAACAAAGAAGACGAUCUCUAAUCUCAUUUAAGUCUACACCGUGAGCAAUUAUACAACCUAAAUUUGAUAUGCACAUAAGUUCCUACGUGGUUCCUAUGACAUAGACCUACUUAGAAUUAGACUACGGGUUUCAUUCAACAUCAUGACACAAACAAGCUCGGCUACGUGUUCUACUUAUAGGUUCNNNNNNNNNNNNNNNNNNNNNNNNNNNNNNNNNNNNNNNNNNNNNNNNNNNNNNNNNNNNNNNNNNNNNNNNNNNNNNNNNNNNNNNNNNNNNNNNNNNNNNNNNNNNNNNNNNNNNNNNNNNNNNNNNNNNNNNNNNNNNNNNNNCAAAACCAUCUUGAACUUGGAAAAUCUUCUCUCUUGGGCCGCACGGUUUCUCUCUCCUUGGUGACUUAGGAAAUCUUCACGGCAUCUCCAUACAUAUCUCGGAUUGUACUUCUCCUAGCUCAAGCAGGAAUUCCUAGCUGCCGGCCACCUUUCCCUCAUGAGUCAGGAAAACAUUUUCCUAGUCAACACGGGUUUAGACUUUCCUGAAAUAGAAAUAAGAAAAUUAGAAACUAGGAAAGAGGAAAGAUGGAAUCCUGAUCAAGAAAGGAAUCCUGAGUAAACAAGGAUUUCCAACACUUAGCACAAUUUCAACACCCAAUUCUUCAAUUCCGAAAUUACUAUGAAUUCUAACACCAAAACCUACAUAUUUCUACAUUAAGCAAUUAUUCUACACUAAACACAAAUAUAAAGCUAAAACAACUAAAUAGGAGUUAACAAAGGGUAAAUAAAGGGUAUAAACAUAUUAAGAACGUCACACUUUGUGCUCCUAUCACCCAUCCUCUAUGUGAUCUUGCUUUCAGCAAAGGAGCUCCGGUGAAGGAGAAUCGAGCAGAAGGAAAGACUGGGUUCGCCGGUGAGUUUCCGAUUCCGGCCAAGUUGUGGUCUCUCACCGGUGUGGAUAGCUUCAUCUCCUCAUCCCUGACGUCCCUGUAACUUCAGCUUGUCGAGACGAGGUCAGGUGAGGGAGAAUCGAAGAGAAGAAUUUUUGGGAUUUUCCGACAAGGGUUUGAUGUUUUCUGGCCACGGGCGAAGGCAAGCGAGGUAUGAAACUUAAUCUUCUCGUCGAGCUCUACCUGUUUAUAUAAUUGGAAUUGAGAUUGGUUAGGUUUGGGAGAAAUUGGAUUUUAGGCAGUGGAGGACCGCCGUGCGUGCCACUGUGCUUGGCGGCGGUGAAGGUGUUGGAUUACUUUAUGGUUGUGUAUUUAUGCUUCUGGUUGAAUUGAUGAGUUCUCUGUGUACUUGGUAUUCAAUUUUGAUUUAGGAUUGAAGGUUUGGAAUUUUGGAGUCUUGAAGGUACUAUGUUUGGUGUUGCAGCAACAAUGAUUGUUAUUGUGGUUGUUGUUAGUAUACUGAACGUGUAUAUUAUGAAUUGGAGUCUUUGAAUUACAGAGAAGAUUGGAUUUAGGAAGGAAGAAAGAUGAAGAGUCAGGUGAUAUGGAGUUGAGCUGUGUGUUAUUGGGAGUUGAAAUUGUGUUGUUAAAGGAUACAAUUAUGGGAGAAAUACAAUACAAGAAGUUUUGGGUGUCCUUAGUAGAUUUCUGAAUUCGGUGUUUAAAGUGAUUCGUUGUCAUUCUUGGAAUAAAAGUUUGAUACGAGGAUUGGAGGCACGUUGCAAUUCCAGAAGUAGAAGGAUAAAGAUUUCAAAAAACGUGUCGCGGUGUUACUAAUUUCGUUUAGCGUCAAGAACUAACAUUUGGAUUCCAGGUAGGGUCUCUCUCGGGAAACCUUUCUUAAAUUGAUAAUUAGAUUAUAAUUGAAAUGGUGCUUUGUGUGGCAUUGAUUGGUUAAUUGUUGAUUGUUAUCGCUUUCGAUAAAGUAUGUGUAAUCUGUGAUUUAUAUGAUCGAUGUUAUUGUUUUUGUUAAAAGUAUGUGUAAUUGUUGAUUUAUGUGAUCGAUGUUACUGCUUUCUAUAAAAAGAAUGUUGUUUAAUAUUAUAUUACAUGCAUCGAUAUUUGAUUGCAUACAUAAUGCAUUGUGAGGAAUUGUGAGAGGUGAGAAUGGUGAUUCUGGAGAGGAGAAUAAGAUUAUUAGAACAAAUACAUUUUGUGUAGUUGAGUUUCCUCAUGGGGACUUCCAGUAACUAUGAUCAGCCCACCUGCGCAAAUGAGUGGGGAAAGUAUGCCCCUUCGACGUAUGAGUCGAUAAAACGAUCUUUCGAGUUUCGAGACUAGGGACCAUGAGGUUAACAAAAGAAUAACAAAAUAGAUACUGGAGUUUAUAUAUUACUGAUUUGUUAGGUCGUAUAAUCGAGACAUCUAUACGGUAUGGGACGUGUAGGUACAUAUGUCUUAGGUGUAUGGACUAAUUAAUUAGCCAGUAAUAGAGUGGAGGGAGUGCAUUAGCAUUUAUGCAUCGAAUUCUUGUUAUAUAUGGCAUUGCUUGAUAACUUGAUUUUGUCAUAUAGUUAAGAAUAACCUAAAGAGGUUUGGCCCUACUGAGCGUAAACUCAUCCUUAUAGAUUUUUGUUCAGGUUUGUACGAGGACAAUUAUUACUAGAAGACUAACUGUGACGUUAGCUUACGUGUACAAGAGUCGAGAAGUACGGAAGAUUAGAAGUGAGAUAGAGUACGCAAGGCUUUAUUUGUUUUGUAAUCGGUUUUGUUAUUGUAAUUGUUUUAUUUUUAACAAUUUCUGGAGAAGUAUCUGAAAUUGUUUUAUUUUCUUUUACUUUUCCCGCUCACGCCUCGGGUUUGGCGUCAGGUGCUUGGAAACCACCGACACCGGGUCCGGGGUGUGACAGUCAUGACGGCCCAAGGCGGGUCAUGGCGGCCCAAAGCAGGUCAAGGCGGGUCAUGGCGUGCCAAAGAGGGUCAAGGCGGGUCAUGGUGUGCUAAAGAGAACACAAGCUUGGAAAGUCUCAAUACUAAUUAAAACAACAACUUCAACAACUUUAUAAAACACGACACGCGUGAGUUAUUUAGGCCUGAUCACGAGUAAAUUGAUAAAAGACACGGAUUUUUGAAACUAGAAUGGUUCACUAUAUGUUAGGAGAUGUCUGUAAGCACACCUGAACGGAAAAAGCCGAAGGUAAAAAAAAAGUGAAACUGGCCAGAAACUUGUGUGCUAUAGCAAGGGGUUUUGGCUCGCAUUGGGUGAAACUUGAAAUGAGGGACAAUACCACCUUUUCUUUUGAAACUAAUGUUCCCGGUGUGAAUAUGAGAAGAAUUGAAGAGAACAGAAUCUUGGAAAGUCACUCAAUGCCAAUUAAAACAACAAUCUCAACAGCUUUACAAAACACUACACACGUGAGUUAUUUAGGCCCGAUCGCGAGUAAAUUGAUAAAUAACAAGAAUUUUUGAAGCUAGAAUUGUUUAAUAUAUGUUAGGAGGUGUUUUUAAGCACACCCGAACGGAAAAAGCCGGUGGCCAAAAAAAAGUGAAACUGGCCAGAAACUCAUGUGCUAUAACAAAGGGUUUUGGCUCGAAUUGGGUGAAACUUGAAAUAAGGGGCAAUACAUUAUUUUCUUCUAAAACUAAGGUUCCCGGUGUUAAUAUGAGAAGAAUUAAAGAGAACACAAGCUUGGAAAGUCUCUCAAUACCAAUUAAAACAACAAUUUCAACGGCUUUACAAAACACGACACGCGUGGGUUAUUUAAACCAGAUCGCGAGAAAAUUGAUAAAUAUUUUGAAGCUAGAAUGGUUCAAUAUAUGUUAGGUGGUGUCUAUAAACACACCCAAAUGAAAAAAGCCAGAGGACAAAAAAAAACUGGCCAAUAACUCAUGUGCUAGCAAAUGGUUUUAGCUCGAAUUGGGUGAAACUUGAAAUGAGGGACAAUACCUCAUUUUCUUUUGAAACUAAGGUUCUUGGUGUCAAUAUGAGAAGAAUUGAAGACAACAAAUCUUGGAAAGUCUCUCAAUACCAAUUUCAACAGCUUUACAAAACACGACACCCGUGAGUUAUUUAGACUCGAUCGCGAGUAAUUUAUAAAAGACACUUUUUGAAGCUAAAAUGGAUGUAGUAGUUCUCUAGUUACCAAUGUAUAUAUCACUAAUGAUUUUAAACGGUUAAUGGUUGUUAGGUACAAUGUAAUCAUUGAACAUCCUCUCAUUGUAGAUGUAAAGAGACUCGCCAUGGGAGGUGUCACGAGCCUUUAGUACGUAGCUGAAUUUUUCUCAACUCUUUUGUUCUUGCAACAAUAUGCGAGGCUCCGUGAUGGCGUCUAGGUUUCUUCUGAACUUCGACCAGCCAAAUCUAUCUCCCCAUACAACGCCUUGGUUCUGGUAGGCGAGGACCUUAUCAAGCUAGGUUUGCGCUUUCGUGUACACACAUCAACUUUGGUACCUUCUUCUACUAGAUUGCAAUCUUUUCACACAAGUGUCUACGUCCUUUCUCACAAGUGUUUGUGGAACACAUAGUUUGUGGAACUAGAUAUUCCUUUUUCAUUGAUAAACAAACUACUAUUACAUGGGAACUCGUAUUUGGCUUGCCAAGUCUCAUUAGGCAAAGUCCGAAUCCAAGCCUUUCUACUAUGGGCUACGCCCUAUAUAUAAGCCUACUUUUCUAUGGAAGUUACAACCCGACUUCCCUUAGGUGUUAUGGCGUUCAUGCCUUAUUUUUAGGAGUAGUGGACAUCCCCCACUAUUAUAGGAUUAUUAACUACCUUAUAGAUAACCACCAAGAUAUGCAUAACUUCCUUGCCAACUUCCCCACUUUUGGUGCUAGGUAACCGCCUACUAACUUGCAUACUGUGUGGAGAUAACUUCUCACUAACUUGCUUUGUCAACCGCUUGUAACCGCCAUGCACACGUAUGCACCCUAGAGUGCAUCCGCGCGCACCCUGCCGAGCACCCUGCAGCGCACCUUCGUAGCACCCUGCCGAGCACACUUGACAUGCACCCGGCACUGCACCUUUUCAUGCAUCCUGCCGCACCCAACAUUUCACCCUACCGGGCACACUUAUCAUGCACCCGACGCUGCACCCUGCCGAGCCUUUGGGGUCCAUGCCGCCUUCCUUCCUUUGGCUUGGUUCGUUGCCGCAUACCAACUUUCCCAUCCUACUAGAGCUUGUCCUUGCUUGAGCCUUCGUGCGUCCCAACAUGGUGCAAAGACAACCCAUGCCGCGCGCCUUUGCCGCCUAUGAAGCUUUAGGGGUGUAACAGGAGGCCAGUAAGUAAUCAAUUGCAUGUUGUUUUGUAUUUCUUUAAUUUCUAGCUUUUUUGUCAAUCUUAUUUGUUGAAAUAUUGCUGAAAGAUCAAGAUCAACCAUGCCUGUAAAGGUAGUUGAGCAUGAAUUUCUUUGUCGGUUAGUGACUGGUUAAACGUUAAUGUUUGAUGCAUUAUUUGGUAUAGAUCCAUAAACAUGCUUUUUAGUUAACUGAAUUAAUAGUUUGAGAUUGUAAUGUUUAGUAUAACACUCAAACAAAUUUAUCUUUUAUUAUGUAAAACAAGCUCCCAACUAAUUUAUUCCCCUAUAACUCGCAUACAGUGUCAUAAAGAAAGAAGAAGAUCGAUCACCAUCUUCAUUAUUCUCACUCAGAUCCUUCCAGAAUUAUUGAAUACAAAAUACUAAUCAAUCUGGGGUAUGUGUAUGUGUAAGUGUGUGUGUAAUUCUAUAUCAAGGCCAAAAAGGCUUUUGUUAAGUGUGAAUGUGCAUGGAUCGAUGAUCAGUUGUUCCAGUGCGGAAGUGGCACAGCGAAGAGCUUCAUGAGCCCGUCCUUGCAGUUGUAACCAUUUUUGUCACCGCUGGCAAAGUAGUAAGGCCUCCACUGGUUAAGCUCAACUUUGAAGCCCUUGCCGGCACCCUGGUUUGGACCGGCCAAUAUCUUGGCCUUGCUGAAGUCGCAGCUUAUGUAGCUCCACAGGUUGGGAAGCAGGUACACGCUGUAGCCGCUGUUCUUCUCGCUUGGCGGAUCAUACUUGAACACUGCAGCAUUAUAACAAACACAGAGAAGUGAGCGUUAUUAAAUGAAAUGCAUUAACACAUAAUAGAAUUUUUCGACAUGCAUAAUGCAUGAUGCAUGUAAUGUGUGCAUUCGAGUGGGACUUACAGAGUUCGUCGUUUAUGUAAAAAGGGCUGUUUUGGAGGACCCAUUCUGUGUAGUUAAAGCCGAAACGCCAGCCUUCACUCCCUCCGACGACAAUGGUUUUGGCCUCGCUAACUGCGAACAGAGAAGCAGCAGCUAGGAGGAGAAUGAAGCCUUGUGUAGUGUAACUGAUGGAAGCCAUUUGCGUAUCUUAAACUAGUAGUUGUUGUUCUUCAACUUCAACAAUGUUCCAAGUAAAAUGUAUAAACUGGAAGAUGAGAAGGUGAUGAGAAAACAGAAGCGCUUAUAGGGUUUAUAUAGGAAAAAGAAUUUGACUAUUGCCUCUGUCAAUUGAAUUGGUUGGUGAUGAAAUGCGACGGUUUAAUUUUGAAUCAAGUAAUUCAACAUGUUCUUGUUUGCAGAUUCCAGAAGGUGAUUUUUUGCUCCGUUUUUUCUCAUUUGGUAAUUACUGAACUGCCAAAGUUCAGAUUAGUGACAUUACUUGGCUUCAAUCAGAAAAAAUGGAGGGCACAGAAGUAAAAUGCAUGGUUGACGAAUGGUUUUGGUCAUGGCUAUUUAGGUGAUCAUCCACUAAGAACAAGAACUUGUGCAGUGGCUAUAAUUACUGGCGCAUUAAGGGUUCAAAAGGUCAGAGUAAGGCAACGGGGUAUUGUUAAUUAGGGUGGAUGUUAACACGAGGAUUCAACGACGGUCAACCGACGUCAACCGACGCCAUUUUUAUGUCUCAAUUUGCAGGCUAGCUCGUAGUGCGCUUCAGAGAAUUUGGAGAAGGAAGAUCAUCACCAUUUGCUCUAUUGAUCGCUUUGAUUUUCUUUACAAAGGUUGAUACAUACAAGACCAUUCUACAUUUUUCAUAUUCUAAAACACCUCUCAUAUUUCUACAGAGGCUCAAUCCCACUAGAAACCAAGCAUAUAUACUAGAAACAUAUCAACACGUACAUGAACUCAACAUAACAGCUAACUAAAAGAUUUUAGACUUUAGUUUCUGUUCAAUUCUCACUAUAUCCAUUCGAUUCAUUUGUCUGAGCUAAUCUCGCCUAAUCCCUUAUUUAUUUAUUAAAAGAAAGGUAUGAGAAACACUAGGGCUUAGAUUUUCAUAUAUCCUAUGUGGUUUUCUUGUGGAACCUUUUUUGCCAUGCAUAUCAUGAGUAGGGCAAUCCAAACAGCGAUUCAGAAGAAACAAGGUAGGCCGAUAUCAAAAAUAUUAUACCCUAACAUUUUUUGCUGUCCAAAAUGUCAUGUUUUUGUUGGUGAUUUCAAACAAUCUUUUGGUUUGACCGCCAAACUCAAGAUAUGAUAAUUUCAGCUUGGCCAAAUACAAGCCUUACAUUUUAUAUAAAAGAAAAGAAAAAAAAAAAAAAAACUACAAGCCUUACAUGCAUUACUACAUUAUUGCCAUACCCUGAUCCCGAUGUGACAAAAUUUGAUUCCAUCAGCCUUUGGGCAAUGUCGCAAUUGGAAUCUAUCAUUAUUGACCAACUAUUGCAAAAAUGCAUAGUAAUAUGCUUCAUGGCUUCAGUAGCUCUGUAUACGGAAGCAGGUCAGGCAAGGUAAGGCCAGCUAGCUAGCUGGCAGCUGGUAAUUAUAAUUUAUAAGUAGCUGCCAUUGUGAUUAAUACUGUGAAUGCCAGAAUAUAAUGUGAUUGAAUUGGUGGGAAAAGGACUAGAAAUUCAAAAAAUUUACCAAACCCCACUUGCCAUUAUAAACUUAACCAAGGUCCAUUACCUUUAACAAGCUAGCAACAAGCAAAAACUUAUUACUUUUUUUCCUCUAGAGAGAGAGAGGCGGGGGGGGGGGGGGGGGACGAGAAGAAUGAAGACUCUUUUUCUCUCAUCUUGCGGCUGCUAAACCUAGUUUGCUCCCAUCCAAAUUUCUUGGGUUGUGCCACUUCCGCUCACGGCUCUCGUCUGACGAAUCUCUCGGGUUCGCGUAUCCUUUCACAAUACCCUUCAGGUGGUCGCACUUUCAUCCUCUCGUCUUCGCAUCGCAUCAUUGACGCUCAUGCCUUCAAAGGUGUUGGUGGUUGGCGAAUCUUCGCGUCGGCAGAUCCAAUUCAAAUCUGGGAUCUUGGGUUUGUGUCAAACUUGGAAAUUGCUUCAUCUCUUCCGGUGGUGAUCCAAUAUGUGGAUGCAGGGUUUCGAAAGAUGGUUUCAGACUCUCUUCGGUGACGUUAUUCCUCUUGGUGGAAAGAGAAGUUGGCCUCCUCGCCGGAUUCCUUGAAGCUACAUGGAAGAAUUGCUCUUGCUGUUGUCAACAGUGUGGGUGUGCGACGGUGCAGAUCGGUGUGGGGACAACGAAAUCCUGGUGUGAUGCGGAAACGGAGAACUUGGCGGAAGAACCAUGGUUGCUUUAACGGCGGCGGCUUAGUUUUUGCUUGGGGUCGACCUAGUGCAAGUUCGUCUCAAGUUCUUUUUGUGGAAUUGGGUUUGGGCUUCUAAAGUUCUGGAUUCAGAUUUGGGAUGAAAGUGGUUUCAUGAUAAAAGUUUGGGACCCAGGACUAUUUUUAGUUCGGUACCAAUUUUUUUUCUUGGGAUCAAUACCUGCUAAGAACUGUCGGGAUUAUUGAUCGAAUGUUGUUAGCGAGUAUUCUGAUGGAUGCUGCGAAAAAGUUUAUUGUCAGUAUUUUAUUAGUUUACUCACCCCCGAGUUUUACUCAAUAGGUGAGUUGUAUUACGUUUUGGCGGUGACUCUUUCUGACGGCCCUACAAGGGCGAGUCACUGUGUAAUAUGGCUUGUGCUUAUUGAAUAAAAUCGUCUGACCUCUUUUCAUUAAAAAAAAGAUCAACCAUGCAUCAUCAUGUGGCUAAAUUAUGGUCAUUCUAGGAGUUGCCUAACUAAUACUUUACAUUUUGUGUAUAGAUUCAUGAAGUAUGUAAAGGAAGAGUACGCGAGAAUUGGGGUCAUGCCUCGUUAUGGUGAUGCAGAGUUUGUCAGAUGGUUUGAGGUGCAGACCAAUUGCACAUUUCACAUUCUCAAUUGCUUUGAGGAUGAUGAUCAGGUAAUUAAAAUACAGAACUCACUCUUAUGCAAUUGGCAUGGUAUACUUUCUUGAUUAAUCAAAAGUAUUUUGUUAAUGAAAUACGAGAACAUGUUAUAGUGAGGGGAUGUAGGGCUCUCACAUCCAUUCUACCAGGUGCUGACGGCAGCCGAAACCCUUAUGAAUGGUUCUCCAAAGGGUUCCACUUCGCUGGUGAUCAUCAUGAUUCUGCAGAGAUUGGAUAUCUGUUUGAGCAUCUAUAUGAAUGGAGAUUGAACAUGUUAUCUGGAGACGUUUAGGAGAGGAAGUUAACCGGGUCUGAAUACUCCUUGGAUUUCCCUUUCAUCAAUGAAAAAUUUACUGGUUAAAACACAAGUAUGGAUAUACUCAGGUCAUUGAUUCCAGGGAAAGCUCUUUAUGUGGUUACAAAUUCUAAAAAUUGUUUGGCUUAGUUGUAAAACUAUCUAAUUGAUGAUUUACUUGAGAGUUGAGAUCUUCUUUGUAUAUUUAGGCAUGGGUAAAUAUGGAUCUCUUGCCAAAAUAUAUCUGGAGAAACCAAAUUCUGCAAAGUUUGUGGUAAGCAAUUUAUAUAUUAAUUAGAAAAUAACCAUCAUGCUAUAUCAUUACUAUAUCGAGUAUAAAACCAGUAACUUAAUUAUGAUGGAUUCAUAGGAAGGGGUGAGUACUUGUUGCCCAAGGUAGAAUACCAUAAAUUUGAGGACAACAACUAAAGCAGGUCAAGGCGGGUUAUGGCGGGUCAAGACAAAUCCAGGUGGGUCAUGGCGGCCCAAGACGGGCUAAGACAAGUCAAGGCGGCUCUUUGGUGGCCCUAGACUGGUUAAGGCGGCCCAAAGCGGGUCAAGGCCGCCAUUUGGUGGCCUUAGACGGGUCAAGGCGGCCCCUUGGAGGCCCUAGGCGGGUUUUAGGAGGGUCAUGGCGGCCCCUUGGUGGGCCUAGGCGAGCCUAGGAAGGCCUAGUAAGGUUAAGGCGGCCUUAAGAGGGUCAAGGGAGCUCUUUGGCGGCCUUAGACAGGUGAACGCGGCCCAAUUCUGUCCAAGGCGGGUCAAGGCGUGUCAUGGCGGCCCAAGGCGAGUCAAGACAUAUCAAGGCGGGUCAUGGCGGCCCAAGGGGGGUCAAGGCGGGUCAUGGCGUGCCAAAGAAGUUCAUGGUGGCCCAAGGCGGGUCAUGGAGUCCCAAAGAGGGUCAAAGCGGACCAAGGCGGGUCAUGGCGGUCCAAAGCGGGUCAAUACGGGUUUAGGCGGCCCAAGGCGUGUCAAGGCAGGCCAAGGCAAUUCAUGGCGGGUCAUGGCGGCCCAAGGCGGGUCAAGAUAGGUCAUGGCGGCCGAAGGCAGAUCAAGGCGGGUCUUGGCAUGCCAAAGAGGGUCAAGGCGGGUCCUGGCGUCCCAAAGAGGGUCAGCGCGGCCCAAGGCGAGUCAUAGCGGCCCAAGGCGGGUCUAGACGGGUGAAGGCGGCCCCUUAGGGGACCUAGACGGGUCAAAGCGUCCUCUUGGCUGCCCUAGACGGGUCUUGGAGAGUCAUAGCGACCCCUAGGCCAGUCAUGCCUUGGUGGGCCUAGGAGGGUUAUGGCCCAAGGCGGGUUAAGACAGGUCAAACCGGGUCAUGGCAGCCCAAAGUGGGUCAAGGCAGGUCAUGGCGUGCCAAAGAUGGUCAAGGCGGGUAAUGGCGGCCCAAAGCGGGUCAAGACUGGUCAAGGUAGCCGCUUAGCGGGUCAAGAAGGGUCAAGGCAGCUCCUUAGCGGGUGAAGGCUAGGCAACCCAUUGGUGGCCUUAGCCAGGUGAAGGCGGCCCCUUAUGGAACCUAGACGGGUCAAGACGGCCCCUUGGUGGCCCUAGACGGGUUAAGGCGGGUCAAGGCCGCCCCUUGGUGGUCCUAGACGGGUCAAGGCGGCCCUAGGAGGGUAUAGGAGGGUCAAGGCAGGUUGUGGUGACCCAAGGUGGGUCAAGACAGGUCAAGGCGGGUCAUGGCGGCCCAAGGCGGGUCAAGGUGGGUCAUGGAGGCCCAAGGCUGGUCAAGGCAAGUUAAGGCGGGCCUUUGGUGGCCCUCGACGGGUUAAGGCGGCCCAAAGAGGGUCAAGGCGGCCCCUUCACGACCCUAGGCGGGUCUAGGAGAGUCAUGGCGACCCCUAGGGCAGUAAGGUCAAGGCAGCUCCAGGAGGGUCAAGGGAGCCCCUUGGCGGCUUUAAACGAGUGAACGCUGCCCAAUUCAAUCUAAGGCAAAGCGGGUCAUAGCGGCCCAAGGCGGGUUAAGGCGAGUCAUGGCGUCCAAAGAGGGUCAAGGCGGCCGAAGACGGGUCAUGGUGUCCAAAGAGGGUUAAGGCAGGCCAAGGCGAGUCAUGGCGUCCCAAAGAGGGUCAAAGCGGCCCAAUGCAGGUUAAGACGGAUGAAGGUGGCACAUUGGCAGCCGCUUAGCUUCCCUAGGUUGGUCAAGGCGGCCCCUUAGUCGUCCUAGAGGGGUCAAGGCGGGUAAUGGCGGGUCAAGGCAGUCCAAAGAGGGUCAUGGCGGCCAGGUAGGGUCAAGACAGUUCAAGGCGGGUCGUGGUGGCCUAAGUAAGGUCAAGACAAGUCAAGGCCCAAAGCGGGCCAAUAGUGGUCAUGGCGGCCCAAGGUGGGUCAAGGCAGGUCAUGGCUUGCCAAAGAGGGUCAAGAUGGGUCAUGGAGUCCCAAAAAGGGUCAAAGCGGGUCAUGGCAGCCCAAGGCAGGUCAAUACUGGUGAAGGCGGCCCCUUGGCGGGUCAAGAAUGGUCAAGGCAGCCCCUUAAUGGGUGAAGGCGACCCGUUGGCGGCCUUAGCUAGGUGAAGGCGGCCCCUUAUGGGACCUAGACGGGUCAAGGUGGCCUCUUGCUGCCCCAGGCGGGUCAACGCGGCCCCUUAGUGGCCAUGGACGGGUCAAGACAAGUCAAGGAGGGUCAUAGCGGCCUAAGGCGGGUCAAGACAGGUCAACGUGGGUCAUGGUGACCCAAGGCGGGUCAAGACAAUCAAGGCGGCUCAUGGCGGCCCAAGACAGGUCAAGACGGGUCAAGACAAAUCAAGGCGAGCUUUUGGUGGCCCUCGACGGGUUAGGGCGGCCCAAAGCGGGUCAAGGCGGCCCCUUCGCGGCUCUAGGAGGGUCUAGGAAAGUCAUGGCGACCCCUAGGGUAGUAAGCUUAAGGCGGCCCUAGGAGGGUCAAGGGAGCCCCUUGGCGGCCUUAGACGGGUGAACGCGGCCCAAUUCAGUCCAACGCGGGUCAUGGCAGCCCAAAGCGGGUCAUAGCGGCCCAAGGCGAGUCAUGGCGUCCAAAGAGGGUCAAGGUCGCCGAAGGUUGGUCAAGGCGGGUCAUAGCUGCCCAAGGCAAGUCAUGGCGUCCAAAGAGGGUCAAGGUCGCCGAAGGCUGGUCAAGGCGGGUCAUGGCUCCCAAAGAGGCUCAAGGCAGGCCAAGACGGGUCAUGGCAGCCCAAGGCGGGUCAUGGCGUCCCAAGAGGGUCAAGGCGGCCCNNNNNNNNNNNNNNNNNNNNUGAGUCAAGACACAUUAAGGCGGGUCAUGCGGCCCAAAGCAGGUUAAGGCGGGUCAUGGUGUGCCAAAGAAGGUCAAGGUGGCCCAAGGCGGGUCAAGGCAGGCCAAGGCGGGUCAUGGCGGCCCAAGGCGGGUCACAGCGUCUCAAAGAGGGUCAAAGCGGCCCAAGGCGGAUCAUGGUGGGUCAAGACAAGUUAAGGCAAAUCAAGACAGGUCAAGGCGGAUCACGGUGGGUCAAGACAUGUUUAGGCUGGUCAUGGCUGCCCAAGGCGGGUCAUGGCGGCCCAAAGUGGCGGGUCAUGGCGUGCCAAAUUGGGCCAAGGCGGGUCAUGGCGACCCAAAGUAGGCCAAGAUAGGUCAUGGCGGCCAAGGUAGGUGAAGACAGGUCAAAGCGGGUCAUAGCGGCCCAAAGCAGGUCAAGGCGGGUCAUGGCUUGCCAAAGAGGGUCAGGGCGGUCAAGGCGAUGCAAGCGGUCAUGCGUCCAAGAGGGUCGAAGACGGCCCAAGGUGGGUCAUGAUGUUCCAAGGCGAGCCUAGGAAAGUUAGAGCAACCCCCUGGCGGCCCUAGACGGGGAUAAGAGGGUCAUAGCGACCCCUUGGUGGCCAUAAAUGGGUCAUGGCGGCCCAAGGCGGGUCUUAGCGGGUCAAGGCAGCCCAAGACGGGUGAAGACGAGUGAAGGCGGCCUAUUAGCUGCCGCUUAGCGGCCCAAGGCAGGUCAUGGCGUCCUAAAGAGGGUCAAGGCGGCCCAAGACGGGUCAAGACAAGUCAAGGCGACCCAAAGUGGGUCAUGGCGUCCCAAGGCGGGUCAAGACUAGUCGAGGCGAGUCAUGGCGGGUCAAGGCUGGUCAUGGCGGCCUAAGGUGGGUCAAGACAGGUCACGGCAGCCCAAGGAGGGUCAAGGCAUGCCAAAGAGGGUCAAGGCUAGUCAUGGCGGCCCAAGGCUUGUCAAGGCAGGUCAUGGAGUCCCAAAGAGGGUCAAAGCGAGUCAUGGCUGGUCAAUACGGGUGAAGGCAGCCCCUUGGCGGGUCAAGAAGGGUCAAGGCUGCCCCUUAGACGGUGAAGGCGACCCUUUGGCGACCUUAGCCGGGUGAAGUGGCCCCUUAUGGGACCUAGACGGGUCAAGGUGGCCUCUUGCUGCCUUAGGCGGGUCAAUGCGGCCCCUUGGUGGACCUGGAUGGGUUAAGGCGGCCGAAAACGGGUCAAGGCCGCCCCUUGGUGGCCUUAGACGGAUCAAGGCCGCCCCUUGGUGGCCGUAGGUGGGUCUAGCAGGGUGAAGGCAGCCCCUUGGCGGCCUUAGACGGGUGAACGCAGCCUAAUUUGGUCCAAAGCGGGUCAAGGCAGGUCAUGGCGGCCCAAGGCGGGUCAUGGCAGGUCGAGGCGUGCAAAGAGGAUCAAGGCGGGUCAAGGCAGGCCGAGGCGGGUCAUGGCUGGUCAUGGCGGCCCACGACAGGUCAUGGCGUCCCAAAGAGGGUCAAGGCAAAGAAAACUCGUGUGCUAUAGCAAAGGGUUUUUACUCGAAUUAGGUGAAACUUGAAAUGUGGGACAAUACCUCAUUUUCUUUUGAAACUAAGGUUCCUGGUGUCAAUAUGAGAAGAAUUGAAGACAGCAAAAUUUUGGAAAGUCUCUCAAUACCAAUUUCAACAGCUUUACAAAACACGACACACGUGAGUUUUUUAGGCCCGAUCGCGAGUAAUUUAUAAAAGACAUGGAUUUUUGAAGCUAAAAUGGAUCAAUAUAUGUAAGGAGGUGUCUAUAAGCAAAACCGAACAUAAAAAGCCGAAGGCCAAAAAAAAAGUGAAACUGGCCAGAAACUCGUGUCCUAUAAGGGUUUUGGCUCGAAUUGGGUGAAACUUGAAAUGAGGGGCAAUACCUUUUUCUUCUUUUGGAACUAAGGUUCACGGUGUCAAUAUGAGAAGAAUUGAAGAGAACAGAAGCUUGGAAAUUCACUCAAAAACCUCUUAAAAACAACAAUUGCAAACAAGUUUACAAAACACGGCACGUAUGAGUCGUUUAAGCACGAUCGGCAGUAAAUUGAUAAAUAACAAGGAUUUUUGGAGCUAGAAUGGUUCAAUAUAUGUUAGGAGGUGUCUGUAAGCACACCCGAAGGGAAAAAGCCAGAGGAAAAAAAAAAAAGUGAAACUGGCCAGAAACUCGUGUCCUAUAACAAGGGGUCUUGGCUCGAAUUGGGUGAAACUUGAAAUGAGAGGCAAUACCUCAUUUUCUUUUGAAAUUAAGGUUCCCAGAGUAAUUAUGAGAAGAAUUGAAGAGAACACAAGCUUGGAAAGUCUCUCAAUACCAAUUAAAACAACAAUUUCAACAGCUUUACAAACCUCGACACGUGUGAGUUAUUUAGGCCCGAUCACGAGUAAAUUGAUAAAAGACACGGAUUUUUGAAACUAGAAUGGUACACUAUAUGUUAGGAGGUGUCUGUAAGCAACACCCGAACUGAAAAAGUCGGAGGCCAAAAAAAAAGUGAAACUGGCUAGAAACUUGUGUGCUAUAGCAAGGGGUUUUGACUCGAAUUGGGUGAAACUUGAAAUGAGGGACAAUACCACUUUUUGUUUCGAAACUAAGGUUCCCGGUUUGAAUAUGAAAAGAAUUGAAGAGAACAGAAUCUUGGAAAGUCACUCAAUGCCAAUUAAAACAAUAAUUUCAACAGCUUUACAAAACCAGACACGCGUAAGUUAUUUAGGCCCAAUCGCGAGUAAAUUGAUAAAUAACAAGGAUUUUUGAAGCUAGAAUGGUUUAAUAUAUGUUAGGAGGUUUCUGUAAGCACACCCAAACGGAAAAAGCCGGAGGCCAAAAAAAAAUGAAACUGGCCAGAAACUCAUGUGCUACAGCAAGGAGUUUUGGCUCGAAUUGGGUGAAACUUGAAAUAAGGGACAAUACCUCUUUUUCUUUUAAUACUAAGGUUCCCGGUGUCAAUUUGAGAAAAAUUGAAGAAAACAAAAUCUUGGAAAGUCACUCAAUGUCAAUUAAAACAACAAUUUUAACAGCUUUACAAAACACGACACGAGUGAGUUAUUUAGACCCGAUCGCGAGUAAAUUGAUAAAAAAAACAUGGAUUUUUGAAGCUAGAAUGGUUUAGUAUAUGUUAGUAUGUGUCUGUAAGCAAUCCCGAACGGAAAAAGCCGGAGGUACAAAAAAAAGUGAAACUGACCAGAAACUUGUGUGCCAAUUAAAAAAAGGUUUUUGCUCGAAUUGGGUGAAACUUGAAAUGAGGGACAAUACCUUCUUUUUCUUUUAAUACUAAGGUUCCCGGUGUCAAUUUGAGAAAAAUUGUAGAGAACAGAAUCUUGGAAAGUCACUCAAUGCCAAUCAAAACAACAAUUUCAACAGCUUUACAAACCACGACACGCGUGAGUUAUUUAGACCCAAUCGCUAGUAAAUUGAUAAAAGACAUGGAUUUUUGAAGCUAGAAUGGUUUAAUAUAUGUUAACAGGUGUCUGUAAGCAAACCCAAACGGGAAAAGCCCAAGGCCAAAACAAAGUGAAACUGGCCAGAAACUUGUGUGCUAUAAAAAAGGGUUUUGGCUCGAAUUGGGUGAAACUUGAAAUGAGGGACAACACCACUUUUUCUUUUGAAACUAAGGUUCCCGGUGUGAAUAUGAGAAGAAUUGAAGAGAACAGAAUCUUGGAAAGUCACUCAAUGCCAAUUAAAAACAACAAUUUCAACAGCUUUACAAAACACGAGACGUGUGAGUUAUUUAGGUCCUCCUAUGGAUGGGUUACAGGUAAAUCAUGGAUUAAAUUGUAAUAAAGCUCAUUCAAUCUGAUUGCCACAAGUUUGGUAACUGUAGUGACGUCUCCCUUGAAAGCGCCAUCUUUGAGAUUGAAAUUGUAGUAACGUCAUUCCCGCAAUAAAACUCAUUCAACCUGAUAGCAACCAUUUUGGUAACUGUGGUGACGUCCCCCUUGAAUGUGCCAUCUUUGACCGUAAUUUAGCUUGUAAAUAUCAAUCAGUCGACCUCGUAUGGGUUUGACAAGAUAUAACAUUUAUUCUCCUUACUUGGCCACAACUAAAUAAGGUGUAUGCGGCUCAACAGCCAUGUUCGCGGCUCAACAUAGGGCGUCCGCGGCUCAACAUAAGGUGUCCUCGGCUCAAUACCCAUGUUCGCGGCUCAACAUAGAGUGUCCACGACUCAACAUAGGGUGUCCGCAGCUCAACAUAAGGUGUUUGCGACUCAAAAGCCGCGGCUCAAUAGCCAUGUUCAUGGCUCAACUUCGCGGCUCAAAACACCAAUAGCCGCGGUCAUCAUCUCUGUUAAUAAAUAAGCCGCCUUGUGCACUGCGGCUCAACAGGAUGAGUCACGAUAUUUACUCGUUAAUGGCCGCGGUCACUAAUGGACCCGUCCAUUUGGUCUGCCACGUAGGUCAUGCCAAAUAUUGGUUCAAACAGAACCCCCCCCCCCCCCCCCCCCCCCCCCACCAUGAGUUCAAAUAGAAAAAUUAUUUGGCACAUAACACACCCCUUAUUUUUCGCCGAGUUAAGUAGAACUCAUGAGUCAUAGUACUCAACACAAAUCUUGGCGGCCAGACGCUUAUUAAAUCAUGGCCGCGAAUUAAUUGUUAAAGCAGGGUUGCCAUUUAAACAAUAUUUGGCAAGAAGUACUCUCCCACAUGAAAGACAUCACCACCAUAGUCCUAGAUUAUGUUUCCUUUUGGGAGAAGAAGAACUUCUCAAAUUUGCUUAGGAUUUGUGUCCCACAUCAAACUCUUUUUCCUUAGCCAUUCUGAACAACCACUAUAAAUAAGAGACCGAGGCCAUGAAUUACUCAAAACAACAAUUCUUUUCAACGUUACAUAACCAUGGGGUUCUCAGCAGAAGACGAAGCUCUGAAGUUCUCCAAGAAAUACAACGAGGCCUUGACCUCAGUGCGUGGCAAAGUGAAAACAGGGGAAAUCCAAAUGUUGGACGAGCAAACUCUACCAACAACAAUAGGAUCAGCCACACCAACUCCACCAGCUUGCUCCCUAGGUCCUCACUUUCCUGAAGGCAUGCCCCAUAAGAUCUCGAAAGUUCUCUGCCAGGAAGAAUUGGACGACUCUUGUCACUUUACUGAGCAUGAGUGGUCAUCAUGGUCUUGCUCAAGGCCUGAUGGUUGGCCAACCCUUACAUAUGAAUGGCAAGCAUGGGUUCCAAGAAUGGAGCACUUUUAUGCCGAUCAUUGGAAAAGAAUCGGCAUUUAUGACGCCAUCAAACUCACCGAGCAAGACAUAGUAAACCGCUAUUAGCCGCGGCUCUAUGUUUUUGGUCCUCAGCUACGAACACAAUGAACCUGUCAUUGGGUCCUAUGAGUCCAACAGUCAUGGGCAUGUGUGUACUCAUUGGAUUGCAGCCAACCGGAGCCGAAAUCAACCCAAUUCACAUUUUCCUACUACCUUCAGAGAUAGUCUACUUCCUCCCAAACGCGCGAAAGACCAUGACAAAGAAGCAAAAACCGAAGCUAUUAAAGCAUCAAAAAGAUCGCGCAACUACAGCUCUUUGUAUAAGAAAAAUGCAGUUGUUGACUCUGAGCCUGCGAACCGAAGACCUGUAGGGAAGGAUGAACACACAGUGUUUUUAUAUUAUUGGCUAUGCAAGUAUGUUUUCUGCAGCAGAGCACGCCAAUGUCCUCCAGAUUACGCAAUAUUAGCUGACGCGCUGGCUUCUGGCAUUCGGCUAGCUCUUGGCCCAUUUGUCCUUGCCAACUUAUACAAAACUUUUCAUAACAUUGUGACUAACGACAUAGAUCUCAACGUCGGCGGACCAUUGUGGAUGUUCUAACUGUGGUUGCGAGCAUACUUCCCUCAUACGUCAACCCCGGAACUGGAAACUGGCCACGAUAUGUUUUAUGGGCAGCAACUUAUGGCCACAUCGUCCUCUUUCAUGCCCCUGGAGAAGUGUUUUACCAUGUUUUACACCUCUAAAAGUUUCAAAGACCUGCGCCCUUGUUAUACUCAGUGGAGAUUGGCAUUUCUUGCUACCAACAAAGAGUUAGAAAAGAACAUGUAUGAUGAGGAAUGGAGAACAUCUUGGGGCAGCUAUGUGAUUUCACGAGACUUGCAUCACGGGUUGACACUCAAUGCACACUCUAAGCCUGGAGUAGAAGUCUACCUUCCCAACUAUUUUGCACGUCAAUUCGGAUGCAUCCAAAGAUGUCCCGUCCUUUACAACAACUCAUUGAAUCUUUUAACCUCAUGGUGCCGAAAGGUGCACACAAAAGAUAUGUGUGACUCGGUUUCAAGACGGUACCAUGAUCGCCUCAAUCGUUUUAAGUUGGAAGUCUUCCAGUCGAAUUCCGCAACCACUCCUACUUUCGUCUCUUGGUAGGCAGACUUUUCUACGAAAUUUGUGGAUCCAGAAUAUAAAGAUAUGUUUACAGAGCGGAUCGUCCGAGGAGUUGGAGAUAUUCUUCUGAACCAAACUGGUCAUAAGAGAAAACGGGCUUCUGUUAGUCACGAUAACGAGCUAUCAACAUCCAAGCAACGAAGCUUUGUUCGUAUCGAAGAAAUCUUUGAUGAGAAUUCUCCUGUGAGCUCGAACAAUGAAAGCGGUCACUUUACGGAGUCAGCUGCAAAUGACGACUGUGCCAACAAGUAUGACGAGAAUUUAAACAGUGAGAGCGCAAAUGAAGGCGAUGUAGAUAGCACUUCGUCUCAUAGUUUGCCUUGUUAAUCUCCAAAUCGUAACCAUCAGGUAACCAUCUUAUCCCAAACACGUAUAUGUUUACUCACCGCGGCUUCACUGAGCCGCAAUACGUAUUGGAAUCACUGACCUGAUCAUUUGUCAUUCAAACUUUAGGGACCGUACGAGCUUGAAAACACCAGCCAAAUGCAAAGUACCCACACCAAAAUGACUGCCAUUCAACCUAAUACUUCCAGCCAAGUGAGUUGUCAUCUUACUUUCACCGUGGCUCACCAUGGGCCUUUAUCAUUCCCGAGUUAAUAUGUUUAUUCUUUUGAAUGUAGUCAAAUCUUCUUACAGACCUAUUGCCCACAGACACCAUGGCUUUCUUAGACGAACUUGCUGGGCAACUUGAAGUGCCACAAAAUAAUAAUUUGAGGGAGGAGAGUGCAACAAGACAUGACCCGCGGAAACAGAGGGCGGCUGAGUUCGUUGUUGUGCAUUGUCGUAAACCGCUUAUGAUCAUCGCUGAGCAAGGUCUUUAUGACCGUUUCAAACAAGAAUUGACCUUCUUGAUCUCACUUAACCAUUUCACUCUUGAGCACGCUCAACAGAUCGAGAGUCAUCUCAAGGUCACAGACGUGAGCGUUGAUGCCUUUUCACAAACAUUGGAAAAAUGGGACACCGGCUGCGCGCUAGAGCAAAAAUAUGGACUCAUUGUCAAGCGGCAAUCUUCACAUGCCGCGAAACUCACCCAAAUGCGACAUGAACUCAAGACUGAUGCCGAGAAGUUGGCCGAGCUGGAAAGUCAAAUGAAAACGAUUCUAGAGCGCAUGUCCACAACUUCACACGUCAUAAACCAAGAGUACGCGGCACACCAUGAAGAGCUCAAGUUAUUUUUUGUACAUGGUAGAGACACCAAAGCUUUUAUAGACAUCAAAGAAGAUCUUGACAAGGCAAUGAAGAAGUAUGAAGCUGAUUGGGCCAUGUGGGAAAAUAUCUUGCCAUGACGGGUUUUCUCGAGCAUGAUCAAAAUUUUAUAUGUAUGUGCUCAAACUUUUGUAUUUGCUCAAACUUCAAUGAAUCCUUCUUGUGUUUUUCAUGCAAGUUUAUUUCAAAAUAUUACUUCGCUAUUCGCCAUCAUGGACACUCAUAAACCGUGGCCUAUCAAUAGGCUCUGCCACCAAUGCGGGCACUCAUGAGCCGCGGCCUAUCACCAGGCUUUACCGCGGCUUCAUUGCGAUCAAAUAAUAAGGCCAAUAUUCUCGCCACGGCCAAGAAUGGUUAUCAAUGCGGCUAACUCAAGUGGUUUCUAACGAUGGCCUCUGUUCACAUGUGAGAAUAGAGGGUGUAUGGUUGCCCUCCCCAAGUGAGUUGACUAUUAGGUGCCAAGGCACGUAGUCAAGUUACUUAAUGUUCAGUGAGGGGUUGACAUCUCCCCUGCAGUUGGGUAGUAUUUUUUUAAGUGUUGACCAUUGAUAGGCAUGUAAUGCAACUCGCCGUCAAGGUCUCGAAGAUGAUACGCUCCAUUCCCGAUGAUGUGAUCUACCACGAAUGGUCCUUCCCAUCUAGGUGACCACUUUCCAUAUUUUGGAUCUUUUUCGGUCUCAGGGAGGACCGCUUUCCAGACCAAAUCAUCUUCGGCAAAGGUUUUGUUGAUUACACGUUUGUUGUAAGCUCUGGCCAUUGCGCGCUUUUGAGCUUCCAUUCUGUUGUAAGCAUCCAACAGAGCUUGGUCGAGCUCUUCUAAUUCCUGCAGCAUGGCUUGAGUGUAGUCACCGAUUGUUAGGUUGUGCUGCUCAGCUACACAUAAUGCUUUAACUUGGAUUUCUACUGGAAGCAUGGCGUCAUGGCCAUAUGUCAAAGCAAACGGUGUAGUCCUAGUUGCAGAUCGCUUCGAGGUACGUAAAGCCCAUAAUGUGUCAGAUAAGAUAUUAUGCCAGUCUCGAGGUUUAUCAGUGAUCAUUCUCUUUAACACAUUAAUCACCAGCUUGUUGGCGGCUUUGGCUUGACCGUUAGCUUUUGGGUAAUAAGGAGUGGAAUGAAUCAUUUGGAUACCCAACUCACGCAUAGCAUUUUGCGUCGCUUCGGAAAUGAAAACGGAGCCGCGAUCCGCAAUGACUUUUUCUGGGACGCCAAAUCGAUGCACAAUUUUUUGUCUGAUGAAAGUGAUCACGGUCUCACUAGUGAUUGAAGUAUAUGGCUCCACUUCUACCCAUUUUGUAAAGAAAUCUGUCAUAACUAAGAUCCAUACAUGUUGCUUAGAAGAUGCAGGGUGAAUCUUCCCAAUAAUGUCCAUGGCCCAACAACGGAACGGCCAUGGUUUAAUAAUAGGGUGUAGCAAUGCAGCUGGCACCUGAUGACGGGAGCCAUGAAUUUGACAUUGCUUGCAGACACGGGCGAAUUUGAUACAGUCUUUCAAUAUUGUAGGCCAGUAAUAAUCAUGUCUGCGAAUCAACCACCACAUCUUGAUUCCAGCUUGAUGAGCUCCACAGAUUCCCCCAUGAACCUCUCGCAUGAUUUUGAGGGCUUCCGGCCCUCCGACGCACAAGAGAAGCAAACCAUCGGCUGAUUUCCAGUAUAACUGGUCUUUGUAUAACACGAAGUUCGCUGCCAAAAAUUUGAUCUUUCGAUCAUGUUUUCCCUCAGGAUUAUUAUGAAACCGGAUGAUAGGAUAUCGCCAAUCAUAUGGCUCCACGCUAACAACGAAAAUUUCUAAAGGCACACCACGAUCUUGCAAGGCAGGCACGUUUCUACGUAAAAUUCUAACGGUCCGACUGGAUUAGGUCCUUUUUAAAGUUAUACCUAAAGCAAGUUGUGCCAUCUCGUUUGCGUCCGAGUUUUCUUUCCGCGGUAUAUGGACAAAAGAUACCCGAUCGAAAACCUCAGCCAAUUGGUCAACCAAAGCAUAGUAAGGUAACAGAGACCAACUCGUGCACUUGAAUUCCUUAAGCAGUUGAUUAAUAACUAGCUGUGAGUCUCCACGUAUAAGUACACGUCGCACCCCCGUUUCUUGUAGCAUCUCCAUCCCAAUGAUUAAGGCCUCAUACUCUGCUUGAUUAUUAGUACAGCGAAACUCAAGCUGAAACGCGAAUUGGAACGACUCACCCUCAGGAGACUCAAUCGUAAUUCCGGCUCCAGCUGAGGUCUCGAUGCUGGAACCAUCAAAAUGCAUAGUCCAAAAGUUGUUCUGCAUGGGUCGCGUCUCGAUCGUUCUGAUUUCGACAUCAUCCAUAGGCUCUAUCUCACUUGAUGGAUGGUGAGCUAAGAAAUCAGCCAAUGCUUGGCCCUUUACCGACUUUUGUGCAAUGUACUUGAAUGUGAACUCGGAUAGAGCCAUAGUCCAUUUGCCAAUACGGCCGCAAACGAUCGGCAGCGUAAGCAUGUAUUUAAUCAGGUUUGUCCUUGAGAUAAUCAAAACUACCGAAGGCAACAUAUAAUGUCGUAGUUUUAUGGCUGAAAAGUACAAUGUUAAACACAAUUUUUCAACGGCAGUAUACCUUUGCUCGACAUGGUGUGAGUACUCGACUUAAAUAGUAUACAGCGCGCUCCUUCCCUUGAUCAUUAUCUUGGGCUAGAAAACUUCCAAUUGAGCGAUCAGUUGCAGUCAGAUAUAAUUUGAGCGGCCGACCAUGGAUUGGAGGCACCAACACAGGAGGUUUGGCAAGGUAGGCUUUAAUGUUAUCAAAUGCACGCUAGUGUUCUUCAUUCCAUAUAAACCGUUCCUCACCUUUGAGACGUAGUAAGGGGGAAAAAUGUUGGAUCUUCCCUGCAAAGUUUGCUAUGAAUCGUCUUAAAAAAUUGACCUUACCCAAAAAAGAUUGCAAUUCCUUCUUAUUUGUUGGUGGAGGUGCGGCAAUGAUCGACCUAGCUUUACUCUUGUCCACCUCAAUUCCUAGUUUGUGCACAAGAAAACCCAGAAAGGUUCCAGCUGAAACCCCAAAUAUACAUUUAUGCGGGUUCAUUUUGAGUUUAUGAGUGCGCAUUCUGACAAAUGCCUGACUCAAGUCGGCAAUGUGAUUUUCUCUUUGAUUUGACUUAAUGACUACAUCAUCGAUGUAUACCUCCACUGUGCGGCCAAUGAGAUCAUGAAAGAUCAUGUUCAUGGCCCGUUGAUAUGUUGCUCCUGCAUUCUUAAGGCCAAACAGCAUAACCACCCAUUCAUACGUUCCAAGUGCACCAGGACAUCUAAAAGCCGUCUUAUGCACAUCUUCCGCGGCUAUGAAGAUUUUGUUGUACCCAGCAUGGCCGUCCAUGAAUGAUAGAAUUUCAUGACGUGCGGCUCCAUCUACAAGAAGGUAAGCUAAAGGCAUGGGAUACUCGUCUUUUGGAGUAGCAGCAUUCAGAUUUCGAAAAUCAAUGCAUACCCUCAACUUACCGUUCUUUUUAAUAACUGGAAUAACAUUAGAAAUCCAAUCUACAUACCUAGCAAUACGAAUUAGGGGUGGGCAUGGGAUGGGACGGGACGGGAUUAAGGUCAUCCCACGGCCCGUCCCGGACAUUGCACACGGGAUGGGAUCGGGACGGGCCUUAUGUUUUUAUGACUUAAUCCCACGCAAGUCCCGUCCCAGACGAGACCGAGACGGGACGGGCCCAAUCCCACCAUCCCGCCCCAAUAUUACUUGAUAAUGAUACCAAUAUAUUCCUACAAUAUAUAGACUGCAUCAUCUGAAUCCAUAAUUCAUAAGUCAUAACUACAAUUAAACUAGAGUAACUACAAUUACUCAAGUUCACACAUCGUCAUAAAGUUCAAAAGAAAACAAAAGAAAACAGGAAAGUAGUGAAUUUGAUAGCACAAGCUCUAAGCUGCUCCAAAUACAAACAAUUUCAACUCUAAUCAUCGAUGAGAAUACCGGUUGUAGCAGCAGCAAUUUUGACUAAUUACCAUCAUUUUUUACUAGAUAAUCACAUAUGCAGCAGCAACAACUAAUUACCAUCAAUUUUAACUAGAUAAUCACAUAUGCAGCAGCAACAACUAAUUACUAGGAGGAGGCGAGGAGGGUGAGGUGAGGAAGGCGCCAAGGCGAGGAAGUAGAGGUGAGGAAGGCGCCAAGGCGAAGAGGGAGCCGAGACGAGGUGAGGCGAGGAGGAGGCGGGCGAGGCGAGGUGAGGAGAGGAGGGAGCCGAGGCGAGGUGAGGCGAGGAGGAGGCGAGGAGGGAGCCAAGGCGAGGAGGAGGCGGGCGCCGAGGUGAGGAGGAGGCGGGCGGUAAGGCUAGCGGAGGAGGACUAGCCGAGGAGGUGGAGCCGUGGAGGACUAGCCGAGGCGGUUUGGCUCGAUUGAGGUUUGGACGUUUAGCUGGAGGGUUGAGGCGAUGAAACUGAAAGAGUGAGAGACAGAGAGUGAAAGACAAAGAGUGAGAUGAGUUAGAGUUAGUAUUAGGGUUAAAAAAUGUAAGGUUGAGAUCAAAACAUCUAAAAAAUCAAUGGGUUAGAUUAGUCUAUAUUUUUACACGGGACGGGACGGGCCUGACGGACCUCAAUUUUUCAGUCCCACGUCCCGUUCCGUUCUUUCUCUACGGGACGGGACGGGACGGGCCUAGUGUUUUUAGACAUAUAUCCCGUCUCAUCCCGUCAAAUUUCGGGACGGGACUGGGAUUUAGGUUUUUUAUGCCCACCCCUAAUACGAAUAAAACCAGCAUAAAGCAAUCAUUCUAUCUCAUUCUUUAUUUCUAGCUGCACCUUGGCAAAAAAUCGCCACAGCAGCUAUUUAUGAGGUUUACAAUUAGGAUAUAAAGGUAACUUAUGUUCUACUACGCUCCGGUCCAAGCUGGGCAUUUCAUGGUAAUCCCAAGCAAAACAAUCUUUAUAUUCCCUAAGUAAAGCUACCAACUCCUCCUUAAACUCACUAGGAAGCAGCUUGCUAAUGAAGAGUGGUUUUGGGUCUUCGAGCGUACCAAGAUUGAGUUCUUCUCUGCGAUCCUCCACUUAUGUUGGAGUGUCUUCUAACUCGGCCGGAGCAGGGCCGAGGUCUUCCAUUUGGAUCUCGUCCUCAUGUGUACUUUCAGACAAAAAUUCCACCAAAUUAAUGGGCGCACCAGUAUGGGCGGCCCUCUCAUGCCAAUAGGCCAGCAGGUUCAGCAUAGAGCUUUCAACUGCGGCCAUCCUUGCAUCCUCUUCUCUGGUGUCACUCAUUAAUAAUAGAGUCAAAAAGCUUAGCCAAGGCAGGACGCUCCGAGACUUCAAAGACAGUCUCGGCGCCAAGUGAAAUCAUCAUGCACAUGGUAACACCAGUAAUUCUCCUGGUGUUGUCUUCCCUCCGGAUUUCGGAUGGGCCCACUAGCUCAUCAUAAUACGCGGCCUCAACCACAUUAACCGUUGCUUUAAACGGCUUAUCAUUAGCUCGCACUACUUCAACCUCAUUCUCAUUCCAGAAUAACAACAUCUGAUGAAGGGUAGAUGGAAUGCACAUGUGCUUGUGGAUCCAGUCAUGCCCUAAGAUGGCACUAUAAGUUGUGUCAGCAUUAAUCACAUAGAAACCUGUAAUAAUGCUCUUACUUCCUACCUUAACUUCUAGCGGAAUCACCCCGAAAGUUUUCUUCUUACAUCCAGAGUAAUCAUACACUGCCAGGUCAGCAGGUAGAAUGUCUUUCUUCGUCUUCUUCAACUUUGACACCACAAACAUUGGGAUUACAUUCACCGUGGCACCACCAUCAACAAGAACCUUUGAAAUCGGAUAUCCCUCAAAACAAGCGGUGAUAUACAAAGGUUUGAUGUGUUUGACCAUCUCUGGAGUUGGUUUAGAAAAGUGAGUCAAGGAUUGUUCUUCCAUGACAAUUGUUGGUAAAACUACAUUUGCAACAUCCCCUUCCAUUUCUUGUGGUUGAUCUGGUUGUGCCAGGAAAUCAAUUGUUAAAACAAAAACCAUACGCAUUGUCAUGUCUUCUCUUUCAACCAGUACCGCCGUGGAUGACUCCACUUCUUCCUCACCUCCCAGAGUCUCUACCUCAUGGCUAAGUACAACAUGCUUGGUAGGACUAGUGAUGCUCGCAUAAGGAUCGAUAAAACUUUUAAGGUCAUUGUUGAAGCUCUCGUAGUGACCAAUCAUCAAGUCUUCCGCAUGUCUUGCUUCACCGGGCUCAACUUCUUGUUCUUCCACCUCAAUCAUUUGUUGCUCAUCAUCAAUACAAAACUGAUCUUGAACGAACACCUAACUGGCUUUGCCAUCGAUUCCCAACAAAUUGGUUUGUCGAACAGCCGCACUGUCAUCCACAUCCAUGCUAGCUAGCUCUUCCUCUGACUCAAAAUCAAAAUCACUUUUCUUUACCUCGGCUGCAUACUCCAUCUCUCGAUGGUGAAUGCAUUCAUCCAUCUUCAACAACAGUCCUCGCUCCUGUGGUGUAACUCCAUAAGUGCUAAUAACUGAAUACAUUCGGUGAUACCCCUUCAGAUACUUAAGGUCCGAUGAAGAUACCAGCAAAUCAGUCUUGCUUGAAAACAACUCCACACCAUCUAACCGUGCUUGAUACAAGAUCUUCAAACCGGUGCUCGACAUACUCUGUACCAUUAAAGGCUCAAGCUGCGGGUUAUCUGUCAAGGCUCUUAGCGUAUCCAGCUCCUCCCAUGUUGGCCCGUACAGAGCUAAGGCGGAAUAUGUCUUGUGGUACUCCUUCAUAGCAGCCCAACCUUCUGGUGCAAAGGGAGGGAGCUUGUUUCGUAACACCUCAACCACCUGUUUAAUGACCGUUAAUGGCCACGGUCACUAAUGGACCCGUCCAUUUGGUCUGCUGAUGUGCUCAUAUUAUCCUAUAUUUCUAAGCCCUUUAAUCUUGAUAUUUGCGUUUAGUUCUCUUCUUUAUGACUUAUUUAUGUUAAUUUAGUGCUUUUGUAGGUUUGUGUCGUAAAGAGAAGAAAAUGAUCUAAAACGAGCAAAUAAGGAUUGAAAGGCGACUACAAUCCCAAGUGCCAGAAUCUGCCUAUGCAGAACUGCCAACUUUUCCGAAUUACAGGGAAUUACUCGGAUUAAAUCAGACUAUGAGCCUUAUAUCAUUGGAAAGCUAUGGAAGUCUACUUUCUGUAGAAUUUUACGGAUCUCGAUUUCGAUACUUAUGGACUGAGUUAUGAUCAUUUGAAUGAAGAUAGGUCAGAUCAGAAAAUCUGCUCGGAAUUACAAGCUUUUGUGGAGAACUCAAGAUCUAUGGCACAAGAUCAUUAACCCUAAAGCUUCAAGGACAAUAACGCAUAUGAGGAUUCAAUGAGUACAUGUAUUCCUAGUUCUACAAGAGAUAUCUCAAGGUUUUCCCAUUCCAUAUCAAGAAAGGAGUCUGAAUCCAAGUCUUACAAGGAAAUAUGAAGCCAAAGAUGAGCAGGAAACUUUUCUAUAUAAGAGAGCACGAAUUUCACAUUGAGGGAGGUCUCGGAAGCACAUUGAAGACGCCUAAAGGAGCAGAGAUCUAUCCACCCUUCACCUUUUCGUUCUUUUUAUGUUUUCGUUAUGUUUUAUUUAGUCAUGUUUAGUUAAACCUUUUAUAGGGUUAGGAUGAUUCACUAGCAUGAUUGUUUAUGUUUUUUAUGAUUAAUUAAUAGAUUUAUAGUUUCUUAAUGAUGAAUGCUUAAUCACUGGUUGAAUUUUAUGCUUGAUGUUUAAGUUCUUUGAUUGAUCACCUUAGGGCUUUGCAUUUAGUAAUUGAAAGAUAAAUUUGAAGCAGAGAUGCAAUAUAAUUUAUAUAGCUUCUUGUGGUUAAGUGUGGUGAAUUACAUUGUUGCUUGAGAAAGAAUAAAUGGUUUGCUUGAUUCCCUUAUUUUCUAGUACGUAAUGAGUCCUGCAUGUUAAAUUUAUACCUGAGAAGGAUAAACUGCAUAGUUAGGAUAUACGACCUUUACCCGAGAGAGAGAGCAUCAUACACUUAAGGAAAAUUAUGGUCUAGAGUACCUGAGAAGGACUUAGAUACGGGAAUUGUCAUCUAGAGAAACGAAAGAGUCUGUUAGUUGCAUCAAAGCAUACAUAAGAUUGUUAGUGGUUGAUUCUGACGCCCUAGAUUCAUUUAUCAUUAUUUGUUUACUUAUUUUAUUGUUUCUUUGUUUCUUUAAAUUGUUAUCGUGAUUUGUGUGUUUUAGUAUAGUUAGUUUAGGUAUUUCAUAAUUUGAAUUGAACUAAUAUCCUCGUGGGAACGACAACCCCUUCUCUUCCAUUUCACUAUACUACAUCCACCCUGUAUACUUGCAGGAAAUCCACCAUCUACCACGUAGGUCGUGCCAAAUAUUGGUUCAAACAGGAUCUCAAUGUCAAUAUGAGAAGAAUUGAAGAGAACAGAAGCUUGGAAAUUCACUCAAUACCUCUUAAAACAAUAAUUGCAACAGCUUUACAAAACACGACACGUGUGAGUCAUUUAAGCAUGAUCGCGAGUAAAUUGAUAAAUAACAAGGAUUUUUGAAGCUAGAAUGGUUCAAUAUAUGUGAGGAGGUGUCUGUAACCACACCCGAACGGAAAAAGCCGGAGGCCAAAAAAAAUAUAUGAAUUGGUUCAAUAUAUGUCAUGGCGACCCAUUGGCAAGUCAUGGCGGCCCCUUGGUGGCUCUAGGCGAGCAAAGGAAGGCCUAGGAGGGUCAAGGCGGCCCCAGGCAGGUCUAGGAGGAUCAAUGCAGCCUCUUGGUGGGUUAAGACGGUAUCUCAGAGGCCUUAAAUGGGUGAACGCGUCCACUUGGAGGCCAUAGCCGGGUCAAGGUGGCCCUAGAUGGGUCAAGUCGGCCCAAGACGGGUCAUUGCGGGUCAUGACGGGUCAAGGCAGCCCAUUAGCGGCCUAAGACAGGUGAAGGCGGCCCCUUUGUGGCCGUAUGCGUGUCUAGGCGGGUUAAGACGGCCCCUUGGCGGGUUAAGGAAGGUCAAUGCAGCCCCUUGGCGGGUUAAGGUGGCAUCUCGGCAGCCUUAAAUGGGUGAACGCGUCCCCUUAGAGGCCAUAGCCGGGUCAAGGUGGCCCUUGGUGGCCCUAAAUGGGUCAAGUCGGCCCAAGGCGGGUCAUGGCGGCCCAAGGCAGGUCAAGGCAGCCCCUUGGUGGCCGUAUGCGGGUCAAGGCUGCCACUUAACGGCCCUAGGUAAGUCAAGGUGGUCCUAGAAGGGUCUAGAAGGGUCAAGGCAGCCCGUUGGCGGCCCUAGAAGGGCCUAAGAGGAUCAUGCGGGCCUACGAGGACCUAGGAGGGUCAAGGCAGGUCUAGGAGGGUCAAGGCAGCCCCUUAGCAGGUCAAAGCGACCUUAGACGGGUGAAUGCGGCCCCUUAGCAGCCUUACCCGGGUCAAGGCGGCCCAUUGGUGGCCCUAGAUGGGUCAAUGAGGCCCCUUGGUGGCCCUAGACGGGUCAUGGCGACCCCUUGACGAGUCAUGGCUGCCCCUUGGUGGCCCUAAGCGAACCUAGGAGGGCCUAGGAAAGUCAAGGCCCUAGGCGGGUCUAGGAGGGUCAAGGCAACCCCUUAACGGCCUUCGACGGGUGAACGCAGGCCAAGGCGGGUCAAGGAGGGCCAAUGCGGGACAAGGCAGGUCAAGGAGGCCCCUUAGUGGCCUAAGACGGGUGAAGGCGACCCCUUGGCGGUCGCUUAGCGGCCCUAGCUAGGCAUGUCAAGGCUGCCGCUUGGCGGCCCUAGGCGGGUCUAAGAGGUCAAGGUCAAGGCGUCCUAGGACGGGCCUAGGAGGGUCAUGGUGACCCCUAGUCUAGUCAUGACGGCCCCCUGGUGUCCCUAGGCGGGCCUAGAAGGGUCAAGGCGACCCUUGCCGAGUCAAGGAGACCCCUUGGCGGCCUUAGACUGGUUUGCGGCCUUAGACGGGUGAACGUAGCCCUUGGCGGCCCUAACAGGGUCAAGGCGGCCCCUUGGUAGCCCUAGAUGGGUCAAGGCGGGUCAAAGCAGCCCAAGGCGAGUCAAAGAGGGUCAAGGCGUCCCAAAGAGGGUCAAGGCGGGUCAAGGCGAGUCCAGGCGGGUCAUAACGGCCAAGGCAGGUCAUGGUGUCCCAAGGCGGGUCAUAGCGGGUCAUGACGUCCUAAGGCGGGUCAAGACAGGUCAAGGCAGGUCAUGGCGGCCCAAGGAGGGUCAAGACAGGUCAAGGCUAGUCAUGGCGGCCCAAAGCGGGUCAAGACAGGUCAAGGCGGGUCAUGGCGGCCCACGGAGGGUCAAGACAGGUCAAGGCUGGUCAUGGCGGCCCAAAACAAGUCAUCGCAGCCCAAGGCAGGUCAAGGCGGGUCAUGGCGGCCCAAGGUGGGUCAAGGCGGGUCAAAGCGGCCUCUUGGCUGUCCUAGGCGGGUCUAAGAGGCCUCUUGGUUGUCCUAGGCAGGUCUAAGAGGCCUCUUGGCUGCCCUGGGCGGGUUAAGGCAGCCUCUAGGCUGCCCUAGAUAGGUCAAGGAGGCCCUUGGUGGCUUUAAACGGGUUAAGGCGGGUCAAGACAGGCCAAGGCGAUUCAUGACGGGUCAUAGCGGCCCAAGGCGGGUCAUGGCGUCCCAAAGAGGGUCAAGGCGGCCCAAUGCGGGUUAAGACGGGUAAAGGCUGCCCUAGGCGGGUCAUGGUGGCCCCUUGGCUGCCCUAGGAAGGUCAAGGAGGCCCAAGGUGGGCCUAGGCGGGUCAAAGCAGCCCAAGACGGGCCUAGGAGUGUCAUGGCGACCCCUAGUCCAGUCAUGACGGCUCAUUAAUGUCCCUAGGCGGGCCUAGGACGACCUAGGAGGGUCAAGACGAGUCUAGGAGGGUCAAGGCAGGCCCUUGGCGGCCUUAGACUGGUGAAUGUGGCCCCUUGGCAGCUGUAGCAAGGUCAAGGCGGCCCCUUGGUGAUCCUAGAUGGGUCAUGGCGGCUAAAGGCGGGUCAAGGCGGCCCAAAGUGGGUCAAGGCGGACCAAAGCGGGUCAUGGCGGGUCAAGACAGGUUAAGGCGGGUCAUGGCGUGUCAUGGCGGCCCAAGACGGGUCAUGGCGUCCCAAAGAGGGUCAAGGCGGGUUAAGACGGGUGAAGGCGGGUUAAGACGGGUGAAUGCAGGUUAAGACGGGUGAAGGCGUCCCUAGGCAGGUCAGGGCGGCCCUAGGCAGGUCAAGGCGGCCCCAUGGCGGCCCUAGGAGGGUCAUUGUGUCCACUUGGCUGCCCAAGGCGGGUCUAGGAGGGCCUAGGAAGGUCUAGGCGGGCCUAGGAAGGUCAAAGCGGCCCUAAACGGGCCUAAGAGGGUCAUGGUGACCCCUAGUUCAGUCAUGGCGGCUCCUUGGUGUCCCUAGGCGGGCCUAGGACGGCUUAGGAAGGUCUAGGAGAGUCAAGGCAGCGUCUUGGCGGCCUUAGACGGGUGAACGCAGCCCCUUGGCGGCCGUAGCAUGGUCAAGGCGGCGCCUUGGUGCUCCUAGAUGAGUCAAGGCAGCCCAAGGCGGGCCAUGGCGUCCCAAAGAGGAUCAAAGCGGGUCAAGGCGGCCCAAAGCCGGUCAUGGCUGCCCAAGGCGAGUCAAGGCAGGUCAAGGCGGCCCUAGGCGGGUCUAGGAGAGUCAGGGCAGCAUCUUGGCGGCCUUUGACGGGUGAACGCAGCCCCUUGGCGGCCGUAGCAUGGUCAAGGCGGCCCUUGGUGGUCCUAGAUGAGUCAAGGCAACCCAAGGCGGGUCAUGGAGUCCCAAAGAGGAUCAAGGCGGCCCAAGGCCGGUCAUGGCUGCCCAAGGCGAGUCAAGACAGGUCAAGGUAGGUCAUGGCAGCCCAAGGUAGGUCAUGGCAGCCCAAGGUGGGUCAUGGCGGCCCAAGGUGGGUCAUGGCAUCCCAAGGCAGGUCAUGGCGGCCCAAGGCGGGUCAAGAGAGGUCAAGGCGGGUCAUGGUGGCCCAAAACGGGUCAUGGCAUGCCAAAGAGGGUCAAAGCGGCCCAAGGCAGGCCAAAGCGGGUCAUGGCAACCCAAAGCGGGUCAUGGCAGCCCAAGGCGGGUCAUGGCGUCCCAAAGAGGGUCAACACGGCCCAAUGCGGGUUAACAUGGGUGAAGGCGGCCCCUUAGCGACCUUAGGCUGGUCAUGGUGGCCCCUUGGCUGCCCUAGGUGGGUCUAAAAGGGCCUACGAAGGUCAAGGCGGCCAAAGGUGUAUACAAGUUUGGCAUGAUUUCUUUUAAAUUCCCUUGCUAUGGCACAGAUUUUUCCGUCAAAAUUCAAUGCUCUUAUUUGUUAUCCAAACCUUUUCUAGUAUGAAAUCAUGACAAAUAAAUACUUUUUGAACUGACGGAACUCGAAAAUCUCAAUCAGAUUAAUUUAUACGAGUUUCACUUUAACCCGAAUCUAAGGGCGUCGUCUUCUAAACAUCACCAAAAGAUGGCUACUUAGAUCUUUGUGCCCUUGGCGGGUCUCGACUACCCCAUGGCGGGUCUUAGGGGCCACUAAGUGAUAAGACGUAUUUGCACACGCAUCAAUUAACCCUGUCAACAAAUCAAUCGUAGUAUAAAGCAAGCAGGGAUCGUUCUAAACCGGAGAUCCAACUACAUGGUAGAUCCAUCUAAUCUAAUAAAAAUGUCGAAAUAAGCAUAUAGGGUUUAAAGGUUUUGAUGAUUUUGGAAUAAACAUUGAAAAUAAAUCCUAAAUUACUUCUAUACAUAUUUACAUGUGAUCAACUAACAAUCAUGCAAACUUAACCAAACAACCAUGUAAGAACAAAGAAGACGAUCUCUAAUCUCAUUUAAGUCUACACCGUGAGCAAUUAUACAACCUAAAUUUGAUAUGCACAUAAGUUCCUACGUGGUUCGUAUGACAUAGACCUACUUAGAAUUAGACUACGGGUUUCAUUCAACAUCGUGACACAAACAAGCUCGGCUACGUGCUCUACUUAUAG